RNAcentral lists this ribosomal RNA (253 nucleotides) under uncultured prokaryote. RNAcentral's name for it is "partial 16S ribosomal RNA". It matches the Rfam family "Bacterial small subunit ribosomal RNA", at positions 524 to 776 of the family's 1533-position model. The record is from RNAcentral.
CACGGGGGGAGCAAGCGUUGUUCGGAAUCACUGGGCGUAAAGGGCGUGUAGGCGGUUCGGUAAGUGGAAUGUGAAAUGCUCCGGCUCACCCGGAGUACUGCAUCCCAAACUGCCGGGCUUGAGUAUGGGAGAGGAUGAGGGAAUUCCUGGUGUAGCGGUGAAAUGCGUAGAUAUCGGGAGGAACACCCGUGGCGAAGGCGGCCGACUGGGCCGGACCUGACGCUGAGGCGCGAAGGCGUGGGGAGCGAACGGG